GAUCAUGGCUCAGGAUGAACGCUGGCGGCGUGCCUAACACAUGCAAGUCGAGCGAAGCGCUUAUCUUGGAUUUCUUCGGAAUGACGAGAUCUGCGACUGAGCGGCGGACGGGUGAGUAACGCGUGGGCAACCUGCCCUGUACAGGGGGAUAACAGUUAGAAAUGACUGCUAAUACCGCAUAAGCCCACAGCUUCGCAUGAAGCGGUGGGAAAAACUCCGGUGGUACAGGA
This 230-nucleotide ribosomal RNA is filed under the name uncultured bacterium. RNAcentral's name for it is "partial 16S ribosomal RNA". It matches the Rfam family "Bacterial small subunit ribosomal RNA", at positions 15 to 225 of the family's 1533-position model. The record is from RNAcentral.